Molecule: ribosomal RNA, 216 nt
Filed under: uncultured bacterium
Lineage: Bacteria
Description: partial 16S ribosomal RNA
Rfam family: Bacterial small subunit ribosomal RNA
Source: RNAcentral
UACGUAGGGACCAAGCGUUGUUCGGAUUUACUGGGCGUAAAGGGCGCGUAGGCGGCGUGACAAGUCACUUGUGAAAUCUCCGGGCUUAACUCGGAACGGUCAGGUGAUACUGUCGGACUAGAGGUACAGAAGGGGCAACUGGAAUUCUCGGAUGUAGCGGUGAAAUGCGUAGAUAUCGAGAGGGAACACCUGCGGCGAAGGCGGGUUGCUGGGCUG